UAUAUAUGGAUGAAAGUUGAUUUAUGAUAAUUUCAUCUAUUGAUUUCUUAUGUAUACAAUGUAUAAUAAUCAAACAACUUAUUAUUUUAGAAUGCUCUUUGAAAUACUUAAGAUGUAUAAAAUUAUAUUUUAGAUAGAUGAAUGUUUUUUUUUAUAUGUAUCAAAAUAAGAAGCAUCUCAUUUAGAUAAUUGUAUGUAAAAUAUGAUUUAUAAUUAGAAUAGCUUAUGGUAUGGAGGUUAUUUAUUGGGUUUAGGAUUAUAAGGAUGUGCUUGAGUUUUUUUUAUCUUCUUAUUUUUAGAUUUUGAGUUGAUAUAAUCUUCUAUUUUUGAGGUAUAAGAUACUAAUGGUGUAAAUAACUUGUUCUAUAAGUUCUUAGUUUAUAAGAUAUAAGUAGUUUGACUUUGUUUCUAAAAUAGUUGACUUUUAUGAUAUAAUAAAUAUUUGAAAGUUUUAAAAAGAA
This 461-nucleotide long non-coding RNA is filed under the name Physcomitrium patens. Its description in RNAcentral is "long non-coding RNA (PPAT_LNC014376)". Lineage: Eukaryota; Viridiplantae; Streptophyta; Bryopsida; Funariales; Funariaceae. The record is from RNAcentral.